GGCUUAGAGUUUGAUCAUGGCUCAGGAUGAACGCUGGCGGCGUGCCUAACACAUGCAAGUCGAGCGAAGCGAUUUCGAGGAAGUUUUCGGAUGGAAUUGAGAUUGACUGAGCGGCGGACGGGUGGGUAACGCGUGGGCAACCUGCCUCAUACAGGGGGAUAACAGUUAGAAAUGACUGCUAAUACCGCAUAAGCGCACAGUUUCGCAUGAAACAGUGUGAAAAACUCCGGUGGUAUGAGAUGGACCCGCGUCUGAUUAGCUAGUUGGUGGGGUAAAGGCCUACCAAGGCGACGAUCAGUAGCCGACCUGAGAGGGUGACCGGCCACAUUGGGACUGAGACACGGCCCAAACUCCUACGGGAGGCAGCAGUGGGGAAUAUUGCACAAUGGGGGAAACCCUGAUGCAGCGACGCCGCGUGAGUGAAGAAGUAUUUCGGUAUGUAAACUUCUAUCAGCAGGGAAGAAAGUGACGGUACCUGACUAAGAAGCCCCGGCUAACUACGUGCCAGCAGCCGCGGUAAUACGUAGGGGGCAAGCGUUAUCCGGAUUUACUGGGUGUAAAGGGAGCGUAGACGGAAUGGCAAGUCUGAUGUGAAAGGCGGGGGCUCAACCCCUGGACUGCAUUGGAAACUGCCAGUCUUGAGUACCGGAGGGGUAAGCG
Molecule: ribosomal RNA, 660 nt
Filed under: uncultured organism
Description: bacterial SSU rRNA
Rfam family: Bacterial small subunit ribosomal RNA
Source: RNAcentral